Molecule: ribosomal RNA, 446 nt
Filed under: uncultured bacterium
Lineage: Bacteria
Description: partial 16S ribosomal RNA
Rfam family: Bacterial small subunit ribosomal RNA
Source: RNAcentral
CCUACGGGAGGCUGCAGUCGAGAAUCAUUCACAAUGGGGGAAACCCUGAUGGUGCGACGCCGCGUGGGGGAAUGAAGGUCUUCGGAUUGUAAACCCCUGUCAUGUGGGAGCAAAUUAAAAAGAUAGUACCACAAGAGGAAGAGACGGCUAACUCGGUGCCAGCAGCCGCGGUAAUACAGCGGUCUCAAGCGUUGUUCGGAAUCACGGGGCGUAAAGCGUGCGUAGGCUGUUUCGUAAGUCGUGUGUGAAAGGGGCGGGCUCAACCCGCGGACGGCACAUGAUACUGCGAGACUAGAGUAAUGGAGGGGGAACCGGAAUGCUCGGUGUAGCAGUGAAAUGCGUAGAUAUCGAGAGGAACACUCGUGGCGAAGGCGGGUUCCUGGACAUUAACUGACGCUGAGGCACGAAGGCCAGGGGAGCGAAAGGGAUUAGAUACCCCUGUAGUC